AAAAAGUUUGAUUCUUGCUUGUUUAUAUAGUAAAACAAUAAAAAAUACAUUCAAGUAUUUGUGAGAACUAAGGUAUUGUUGUAUUAAAAAUAAAUAGUAAAAUAAUAAAUAAUUAAAUCGAAGUGUGUAGUAUUAAUUAUAUAAUUGAAAAAUUGAAUUAAUAAUUGUUUUAAAAUCUGACUAAAAAUUUGUGCCAGCAGUCGCGGUUAUACUUAGAGAUUUAAUAUAUAAAUUUUGAUUAAUAGUUAGAUAGGAUAAGGUGUAUAAUUAUUGUAUUUGGAUUAAUAAAAGGUGAAAUUAGUUUAUUAAGUGUUUAGUGCAGUAGUUUUCUUAUUAUGUAUUAAAGCUAUAAAAUUUGUAAUAUAAACUAGGAUUAGAUACCCUAUUAUAUACAUAUUUAAUAAAAAAUAUCAGGCUAUUUUUAGUUAUGUUCUUAAAAAUCAAAGAACUUGGCGGUAUUUUAGUCUUGUUAGAGGAACCUGUUUUAUAAGCGAUAAACCACGUAGUAUCUUACUUAAUUUUGUAUAAUAGUAUGUAUACCGUCAUUAUUAGAUAAUUCUUAUAAGAUAUAAUUUUUGAAAUAAUGAAAAAGAUUAAUGUUAGUAUAUUAGAUCAAGGUGCAGCUAAUAGUUAAGUAAAAAUGGGUUACAAUAAUAUUUAAUUAUAUGGAUUAAUUAUUGAAAAAUAAUUAUUGAAAGUGGAUUUAAUUGUAAUUUUUUUUUAAUAAGAAAGAAUGAUAAAAGCUCUAAGAUAUGUACAUAUCGCCCGUCGCUUUCACUAUAAGGUGAGAUAAGUCGUAACAUAGUAGGUGUACUGGAAAGUGUACCUAG
Molecule: non-coding RNA, 830 nt
Filed under: Upogebia bowerbankii
Lineage: Eukaryota; Metazoa; Arthropoda; Malacostraca; Decapoda; Upogebiidae
Source: RNAcentral